GACGAACGCUGGCGGCGUGCCUAACACAUGCAAGUCAAAGGGAAGCAACUUCGGUUGUAAGUACUUGGCGCAAGGGUGAGUAAUGUAUAGGUAAUCUGCCCUUUGGACUGGGAUAACCCCGAGAAAUCGGGGACAAUACCAGAUGAUGCAGCGGGACCGCAUGGUUGUUCUGCCAAAGAUUUAUCGCCAAAGGAUGAACCUAUAUCCCAUCAGGUAGUUGGUAAGGUAACGGCUUACCAAGCCUACGACGGGUAGCUGGUCUGAGAGGAUGAUCAGCCACAUUGGAACUGAGACACGGUCCAGACUCCUACGGGAGGCUG
RNAcentral lists this ribosomal RNA (320 nucleotides) under uncultured Chlorobiota bacterium. RNAcentral describes it as "bacterial SSU rRNA". It matches the Rfam family "Bacterial small subunit ribosomal RNA", at positions 28 to 351 of the family's 1533-position model. The record is from RNAcentral. Lineage: Bacteria; Pseudomonadati; Chlorobiota.